GAUGAACGCUGGCGGCGUGCCUAACACAUGCAAGUCGAACGGAGAUUACGGACGGAAGUUUUCGGAUGGAAGCCUGUAAUUCUUAGUGGCGGACGGGUGAGUAACGCGUGGGCAACCUGCCCUAUACAGGGGGAUAGCAGCUGGAAACGGCUGGUAAGACCGCAUAAGUCGGUUAAAUCGCAUGAUUUGAUCGGGAAAUGAGCAAUCAGGUAUAGGAUGGGCCCGCGUCCGAUUAGCCAGUUGGCAGGGUAAAAGCCUACCAAAGCGACGAUCGGUAGCCGGACUGAGAGGUCGGACGGCCACAUUGGGACUGAGACACGGCCCAAACUCCUACGGGAGGCAGCAGUGGGGGAUAUUGCACAAUGGAGGAAACUCUGAUGCAGCGACGCCGCGUGAGUGAAGAAGUAUUUCGGUAUGUAAAGCUCUAUCAGCAGGGAAGAUGAUGACGUACCUG
RNAcentral lists this ribosomal RNA (454 nucleotides) under Catonella morbi. RNAcentral describes it as "bacterial SSU rRNA". It matches the Rfam family "Bacterial small subunit ribosomal RNA", at positions 28 to 481 of the family's 1533-position model. The record is from RNAcentral. Lineage: Bacteria; Bacillati; Bacillota; Clostridia; Lachnospirales; Lachnospiraceae.